Acanthosepion pharaonis is the source of this 110-nucleotide non-coding RNA. NCBI's taxonomy places the organism in Eukaryota, Metazoa, Mollusca, Cephalopoda, Sepiida, Sepiidae. The record is from the annotation of a GenBank genome assembly.
ACGGCCACAUAUCUGUGAAACAUCGGUUCCCGUACUAUCUCCGAAGUUAAGCAACAUCGAGCCUGGUUAGUAUCUAGAUGGGUGACCAUUCGCAAAUACGAGAUGCCGCU